This is a long non-coding RNA of Motacilla alba alba, 207 nucleotides long. RefSeq lists it as uncharacterized. The transcript is spliced from 3 exons. The record is from RefSeq and is a predicted model, not a curated record. NCBI's taxonomy places the organism in Eukaryota, Metazoa, Chordata, Aves, Passeriformes, Motacillidae.
UUCCUGAAUUGAAGAAAAUGCAUAUUCCUUAAAAUGGUGUUUGGUUUGCCAGGGCCAGGGGCCUGUCCCUCUUCAUGUACCUGAAGAAUUCUGGCACUGUCCCCUCAGUAGUGGCUAAUUCAUCUUCUGGGCUUGCCAUCACCAGCUGAGAUACUAAGGAACUCAGUUGCUUGGAGACCUGCAUCUUUCUACCUGUGCUCAAAGCAG